UUCAGGGUGUCACAUUUUAUCAUCAACACAGAUUCCUGAGCUCGCAUUAAUUUCGUGACGCAUUUUAGUAUAGACCCUAGCAAUCGCAUUAAAUUUGUGACGCAGUAAUUUCAUGAUUUACAGAAUGUGAAUAUU
Molecule: long non-coding RNA, 135 nt
Organism: Haliotis rubra (blacklip abalone)
Lineage: Eukaryota; Metazoa; Mollusca; Gastropoda; Lepetellida; Haliotidae
Exons: 3
Source: RefSeq, a predicted model, not a curated record